This 253-nucleotide ribosomal RNA is filed under the name uncultured bacterium. RNAcentral's name for it is "partial 16S ribosomal RNA". It matches the Rfam family "Bacterial small subunit ribosomal RNA", at positions 524 to 776 of the family's 1533-position model. The record is from RNAcentral.
UACGUAGGGGGCAAGCGUUGUCCGGAAUCAUUGGGCGUAAAGAGCGUGUAGGCGGCCAGAUAAGUCCGCUGUGAAAUCUCGAGGCUCAACUUCGAGCUGUCGGUGGAAACUGUCUGGCUAGAGUCCGGAAGAGGAGAAUGGAAUUCCUGGUGUAGCGGUGAAAUGCGCAGAGUAUCAGGAAGAACACCCGUGGCGAAGGCGGUUCUCUGGGACGGUACUGACGCUGAGACGCGAAAGCGUGGGAGCGAACAGG